This 220-nucleotide long non-coding RNA is filed under the name Elaeis guineensis (African oil palm). RNAcentral's name for it is "long non-coding RNA (EGUI_LNC079040)". Lineage: Eukaryota; Viridiplantae; Streptophyta; Magnoliopsida; Arecales; Arecaceae. The record is from RNAcentral.
AAGAGAAAUAAGGAUUUUGGGAAGAUAGACCGUCGGUUUGGAGAAGAGGAUUUGAAGCUAGGGUAAGUUUGAUCCACCCAAACGAGGAAGAAAAGGAACAGGGAUUUAGUUUCUAAAAGGAUGAUUUGAAGGGGGGAAACCCGAUGGGAAGAAGGAUUUUAAAAGAAUUUUUACAAUUGAGAGAGUGGAGAGGGAGGAGAUUUUUGUUUGGUGGGAUGAG